UGAGGAAUAUUGGUCAAUGGGCGAGAGCCUGAACCAGCCAAGUCGCGUGAAGGAAGAAGGUUCUAUGGAUUGUAAACUUCUUUUGUACGGGAAAAAACCACCGGUCGUGAACCGGUGCUGAUGGUACCGUAAGAAUAAGCAUCGGCUAACUCCGUGCCAGCAGCCGCGGUAAUACGGAGGAUGCAAGCGUUAUCCGGAUUCAUUGGGUUUAAAGGGUGCGCAGGCGGAAUGAUAAGUCAGUGGUGAAAUCCUACGGCUCAACUGUAGAACUGCCAUUGAUACUGUUGUUCUUGAGUACACUUGGAGUGGGCGGAAUGUGUCAUGUAGCGGUGAAAUGCUUAGAUAUGACACAGAACACCGAUCGCGAAGGCAGCUCACUAAGUUGUAACUGACGCUCAGGCACGAAAGCGUGGGGAUCAAACA
Molecule: ribosomal RNA, 423 nt
Filed under: uncultured prokaryote
Description: bacterial SSU rRNA
Rfam family: Bacterial small subunit ribosomal RNA
Source: RNAcentral